RNAcentral lists this long non-coding RNA (1173 nucleotides) under Serinus canaria (Common canary). Its description in RNAcentral is "lncRNA (ENSSCAG00000012254.1)". The record is from RNAcentral. Lineage: Eukaryota; Metazoa; Chordata; Aves; Passeriformes; Fringillidae.
AGUCAUGCAGAGGCCUGGUUGCUACGAUUGAAGGUCGCUUAGUGAAUAUCGAUAGUUUCUAUAGGUAUUUUUAUAUCUAUAGAAAGGUAAAAAGUAAAAGUAGAAUAUAGAGCAUUGUGCAGGAGAAAAAGAACUUUUUAUGUAAGAUGUGACCUGUGGGGCAUCGUGCCAGGCUAUCCCUUCCAGGUUUGGAAGGAUUCAGUGUUUUGUAUGGCAUGACGGAGAGUUUUGAAAAAUGAGAUUUCCUCUUCAGUGCAGGUCGGAUGGGUGAGGCCUGGCAGCUUGUGCAUUGCCACUGUGCUAACCUGUGUGCCUCUCCUUCCCUCCCUGCUCCACAGGCACAACCCGGGAGCAGCAGGGAGAGGUGGGUUUGUCGUGGAGGAUCCAGGAGCUCGGUGUGCGUGUCUGAGCCUGCAGUUCCAAGGUGCAGCAGGACCCAAGGUCUGCACACACCCAUGUACAGCACUUGUAAACAGCGUUAACGUGAAGAUAACGCGUGCGGGGAGUGUGCCGUGGGUUACCACAAGCGAUGAAGGAUUUUGGGACGGUGCCAAGGCAGUUUCCCCCUCAGCGCACUGGUUUUUUUUCCGGAAGAAUUACGCGAGAGCGGAAAAGUUGCAAUGGCAUCGCAGUUCCCUGCUCAGAAAAUGCCCAGGGAGUAAAGCACGGCCAAGUGGUGCCAUUCAACUGCGCCACAGCUGGGAGCAUCAGGUAAGUGACGAGGACUGAGCCGCAUCCCCCCUUAGCAAACACAACAGUAAUGUCAAGCAGGAUCACCCUUUUCCAGACCACUGGCAUGUGCUUGGGGACAAAAAGCUGUGUUUUUCACAGCCGGGUCUUCUGAGCCACAGCACCCCCUGCUCUGGGGUGGCCACUGCUCACUGAUCACAGUGAGAACAAACUUGUGUACAGGCGCUCUGCAAAAUUCCCACCUUAGAUGCCACUGAAGCGCAGCUUUGGCUUUCAGGCAUCUCCCCUGCAAGCUGUCCCUUGUGUCGUUUCCGCAGGGGAUUCGUUGUUAAUUAAUUACUUCACUUUUUUUAUUUUAAUUUCCAAAGAAUAGAAGUUGACUUUUACAGCUUCUUCAGUGCUCCCCAAGCUUUAUACCACACCUAAAUGCUCGUCUUCGCUGCCUGAAGGUCUUUUCUGACCUGAACAAUUCUAUGACUUUGG